This 732-nucleotide ribosomal RNA is filed under the name Parasitylenchus nearcticus. Its description in RNAcentral is "SSU rRNA". It matches the Rfam family "Eukaryotic small subunit ribosomal RNA", at positions 153 to 893 of the family's 1831-position model. The record is from RNAcentral. Lineage: Eukaryota; Metazoa; Nematoda; Chromadorea; Rhabditida; Parasitylenchidae.
UAAUUCUAGAGCUAAUACAUGCACCAAAGCUCUGACCUUACGGAAAGAGUGCAUUUAUUAGAGCAAAACCAAGCGGCCUCGGUCGUUGAUUGCUGACUCAGAAUAACUUAGCUGAUCGCACGGUCUUUGAACCGGCGACGUGUCUUUUGAGUAUCUGCCUUAUCAAUUUUCGAUGGUAGUGUAUCUGACUACCAUGGUGUUGACGGGUAACGGAGAAUAAGGGUUCGACUCCGGAGAAGGGGCCUGAGAAAUGGCCACUACGUCUAAGGAUGGCAGCAGGCGCGCAAAUUACCCACUCUCGGAAUGAGGAGGUAGUGACGAGAAAUAACGAGACCGUUCUCUAUGAGGCCGGUUAUCGGAAUGGGUACAAUCUAAACCCUUUAACGAGUAUCUAUGAGAGGGCAAGUCUGGUGCCAGCAGCCGCGGUAAUUCCAGCUCUCAAAAUGCAUAGAACCAUUGCUGCGGUUAAAAAGCUCGUAGUUGAAUUUAUGCCUGAGGCCUGGUCUACCCUCUGGGUGUGUACUAGGUUCUUAGGCUUUUCGUCGGUUUUCUUGUUGUGGCCUUUAUUGGUGGCGGCAAGUGGCUGGCAAUUUUACUUUGAACAAAUCAGAGUGCUCAAAACAGGCGUUUUGCUUGUAUGCUUUUGCAUGGAAUAAUAGAAUAUGACUUCGGUCUAGUUUUAUUGGUUUUAUAGAUCGUUGUAAUGAUUAAAAGAGACAAACGGGGGCAUUC